AUUGAACGCUGGCGGCAGGCCUUACACAUGCAAGUCGAGCGUGAAAGCCCUUCGGGGUGAGUAGAGCGGCGGACGGGUAAGUAACGCGUAGGAAUCUACCGAGUAGUGGGGGACAACAUGUGGAAACGCAUGCUAAUACCGCAUAAGCCCUACGGGGGAAAGCGGGGGAUCUUCGGACCUCGCGCUAUUUGAUGAGCCUGCGUAAGAUUAGCUAGUUGGUGAGGUAAUGGCUCACCAAGGCGACGAUCUUUAGCUGGUCUGAGAGGAUGAUCAGCCACACUGGGACGUGAGACACGGCCCAGACUCCUACGGGAGGCAGCAGUGGGGAAUAUUGCACAAUGGGCGCAAGCCUGAUGCAGCCAUGCCGCGUGUGUGAAGAAGGCUCUAGGGUUGUAAAGCACUUUCAAGUGGGGAGGAAAAGUUGGUAGUUAAUAGUUGCCAACCGUGACGUUACCCACAGAAGAAGGACCGGCUAAC
Molecule: ribosomal RNA, 477 nt
Filed under: uncultured bacterium
Lineage: Bacteria
Description: bacterial SSU rRNA
Rfam family: Bacterial small subunit ribosomal RNA
Source: RNAcentral